RNAcentral lists this ribosomal RNA (535 nucleotides) under Bifidobacterium dentium. RNAcentral describes it as "bacterial SSU rRNA". It matches the Rfam family "Bacterial small subunit ribosomal RNA", at positions 157 to 702 of the family's 1533-position model. Lineage: Bacteria; Bacillati; Actinomycetota; Actinomycetes; Bifidobacteriales; Bifidobacteriaceae. The record is from RNAcentral.
CGGGUGGUAAUGCCGGAUGCUCCGGUUGGAUGCAUGUCCUUCCGGGAAAGAUUCUAUCGGUAUGGGAUGGGGUCGCGUCCUAUCAGCUUGAUGGCGGGGUAACGGCCCACCAUGGCUUCGACGGGUAGCCGGCCUGAGAGGGCGACCGGCCACAUUGGGACUGAGAUACGGCCCAGACUCCUACGGGAGGCAGCAGUGGGGAAUAUUGCACAAUGGGCGCAAGCCUGAUGCAGCGACGCCGCGUGCGGGAUGGAGGCCUUCGGGUUGUAAACCGCUUUUGAUCGGGAGCAAGCCCUUCGGGGUGAGUGUACCUUUCGAAUAAGCACCGGCUAACUACGUGCCAGCAGCCGCGGUAAUACGUAGGGUGCAAGCGUUAUCCGGAAUUAUUGGGCGUAAAGGGCUCGUAGGCGGUUCGUCGCGUCCGGUGUGAAAGCCCAUCGCUUAACGGUGGGUCUGCGCCGGGUACGGGCGGGCUGGAGUGCGGUAGGGGAGACUGGAAUUCCCGGUGUAACGGUGGAAUGUGUAGAUAUCGGGA